UCAAUAGUCUUUUAAUUGAAGGCCAGAAUGAAUGGUUGAACGAGAGAGAAACUGUCUCUCUAUUAAAUAAAUUGAAAUUUACUUUUAAGUGAAAAGGCUUAAAUAUAUUUAAGGGACGAUAAGACCCUAUAAAUCUUUAUAUUAAUUAAUUAUAUAUUUUAUAAAUAUUUUAUAUAAAUAAAAUAAAUAAUAAACAAUAUUUUAUUGGGGAGAUAUAAAUAUAAUAAAUAACUAUUCUACUUUUAUUACAAUAAUAAUUGAUUAUCCAUCAAAAAGAUCCUUUAUAUAAGACUUUAAGAUUAAGUUACUUUAGGGAUAACAGCGUUAUCUUUUUUGAGAGUCCUCAUCAAAAAAAAAAUUGCGACCUCGAUGUUGAAUUAAAAUAUCUUUAUGGUGCAGAAGCUAUAUAAGAAAGUCUGUUCRACUUUUAAAAUUUUACGUGAUC
This 445-nucleotide ribosomal RNA is filed under the name Uroptychus cyrano. RNAcentral describes it as "partial 16S ribosomal RNA". The stretch from base 315 to 445 matches the Rfam family "Bacterial large subunit ribosomal RNA", at positions 2473 to 2605 of the family's 2925-position model. Lineage: Eukaryota; Metazoa; Arthropoda; Malacostraca; Decapoda; Chirostylidae. The record is from RNAcentral.